CGGAGAAGAUGGGUAAGAAGAAGCCGGCGAGGAAGCUGGUGGGGGAUUUUGAAAUGGUGGCUGAUUCGAGUGAUGCAGGGAUGAAGACAAGGAGAAGGAGAUUAGAAGAAGGUGGUAGUGGUAAUGUUGGUGUUGGUGAUGUGGUGAUGAAGGUGGUUGAGGAGUUGAACAGAGAAAAUUCUGCAGGGGAGAAAUUGAAGGGUGAAAAAAAAGUGAGAAGUAAUGGGAAAAGUGGAUCUAGUCCUUUGAAUGGUGUUAGGAAUUCACCAAGGAGAAGGGGAUUAGAUGAAGGUGGUAAUGGUAAUAGUAGUGUUGGUGCUGGUG
Molecule: long non-coding RNA, 324 nt
Filed under: Jatropha curcas
Lineage: Eukaryota; Viridiplantae; Streptophyta; Magnoliopsida; Malpighiales; Euphorbiaceae
Description: long non-coding RNA (JCUR_LNC003029)
Source: RNAcentral